GUCGAGAAUCUUCCCCAAUGGGCGAAAGCCUGAGGGAGCGACGCCGCGUGAGGGAUGAAGGCCCUUUGGGUUGUAAACCUCUGUUAGGGGGAAAGAAAAGCGGUGGAAGCAAUAUGUCCAUUGCCUGACGUUACCCCCAGAGAAAGCUCCGGCCAACUCCGUGCCAGCAGCCGCGGUAAUACGGGGGGAGCAAGCGUUGUCCGGAAUCAUUGGGCGUAAAGGGCGUGUAGGCGGCUUGGCAAGUCGAAUGUGAAAUCCCACGGCUCAACCGUGGAACUGCGUUCGAAACUGCCUUGCUUGAGUGCGGGAGAGGUGUGCGGAAUUCCUGGUGUAGCGGUGGAAUGCGUAGAUAUCAGGAAGAACACCGGUGGCGAAGGCGGCACACUGGCCCAGCACUGACGCUGAGGCGCGAAAGCGUGGGGAGCGAACGGGAUUAGAAACCCUGGUAGUCC
This 452-nucleotide ribosomal RNA is filed under the name uncultured bacterium. RNAcentral describes it as "partial 16S ribosomal RNA". It matches the Rfam family "Bacterial small subunit ribosomal RNA", at positions 354 to 796 of the family's 1533-position model. The record is from RNAcentral.